UGUACAGUAUAUGUGCCGUCAAUGGCGUCAAGAGCUUGCCCAACCUGUAGGUGGCCGUGUAACUAGAAGCUCACGCCCACGUUAGCCAAUCAGAAUCCCGAAAAUAUCA
This is a long non-coding RNA of Etheostoma cragini (Arkansas darter), 109 nucleotides long. RefSeq lists it as uncharacterized. The record is from RefSeq and is a predicted model, not a curated record. Lineage: Eukaryota; Metazoa; Chordata; Actinopteri; Perciformes; Percidae. The transcript is spliced from 3 exons.